CUACGGGAGGCAGCAGUAGGGAAUAUUGCACAAUGGGCGAAAGCCUGAUGCAGCAACACCGCGUGUGUGAUGAAGGCCUUCGGGUCGUAAAGCACUUUUAUGAGGGAAGAGGAAGGACGGUACCUCAUGAAUAAGGAUCGGCUAACUACGUGCCAGCAGCCGCGGUAAUACGUAGGACACGAGCGUUAUCCGGAUUUACUGGGCGUAAAGCGCGUGUAGGCGGCUUGGUUAGUUGGAUGUGAAAGCUCCUGGCCCAACCGGGAGACGUCGUUCAAUACUGCCAGGCUUGAGGACGGUAGAGGAAGGUGGAAUUCCGGGUGUAGUGGUGAAAUGCGUAGAUAUCCGGAGGAACACCAGUGGCGAAGGCGGCCUUCUGGGCCGUUCCUGACGCUCAGACGCGAAAGCUAGGGUAGCGAACGGGAUUAGAUACCCUUGUAGUCC
RNAcentral lists this ribosomal RNA (441 nucleotides) under uncultured bacterium. RNAcentral describes it as "bacterial SSU rRNA". It matches the Rfam family "Bacterial small subunit ribosomal RNA", at positions 339 to 796 of the family's 1533-position model. The record is from RNAcentral.